AUUGAACGCUGGCGGCAGGCCUAACACAUGCAAGUCGAACGAGUGGCGGACGGGUGAGUAAUGUCUGGGAAACUGCCUGAUGGAGGGGGAUAACUACUGGUAACGGUAGCUAAUACCGCAUACCAUCGGAUGUGCCCAGAUGGGAUUGGCUAGUAGGUGGGGUAAAGGCUCACCUGGGAGACGAUCCCUAGUUGGUCUGAGAGGAUGACCCGCAACACUGGAAGUGAGACACGGUCCAGACUCCUACGGGAGGCAGCAGUGGAGAAUAUUGCACAAUGGGCGCAAGCCUGAUGCAGCCAUGCCGCGGGUAUGAAGAAGGCCUUCGGGUUGUAAAGUACGUUCAGCGGGGAGGCGUUACCCGCAGAAGAAGCACCGGCUAACUCCGUGCCAGCAGCCGCGGUAAUUC
This 406-nucleotide ribosomal RNA is filed under the name uncultured bacterium. RNAcentral's name for it is "partial 16S ribosomal RNA". It matches the Rfam family "Bacterial small subunit ribosomal RNA", at positions 30 to 526 of the family's 1533-position model. The record is from RNAcentral.